UGGGGAAUAUUGCGCAAUGGGCGAAAGCCUGACGCAGCAACACCGCGUGAGGGAUGACGGCCUUCGGGUUGUAAACCUCUUUCAGCUCCGACGAAGCGAAAGUGACGGUAGGAGCAGAAGAAGCACCGGCUAACUACGUGCCAGCAGCCGCGGUAAUACGUAGGGUGCAAGCGUUGUCCGGAAUUAUUGGGCGUAAAGAGCUCGUAGGCGGUCCGUUGCGUCUGCCGUGAAAACCCGGAGCUCAACUCCGGGCCUGCGGUGGAUACGGGCGGACUAGAGUCCGGUAGGGGAGACUGGAAUUCCUGGUGUAGCGGUGGAAUGCGCAGAUAUCAGGAGGAACACCGGUGGCGAAGGCGGGUCUCUGGGCCGGAACUGACGCUGAGGAGCGAAAGCGUGGGGAGCGAACAGGAUUAGAUACCCUGGUAGUCCACGCCGUAAACGGUGGGCGCUAGGUGUGGGGAUCGUUUCCACGAUCUCCGUGCCGUAGCUAACGC
RNAcentral lists this ribosomal RNA (494 nucleotides) under uncultured bacterium. Its description in RNAcentral is "bacterial SSU rRNA". It matches the Rfam family "Bacterial small subunit ribosomal RNA", at positions 355 to 858 of the family's 1533-position model. The record is from RNAcentral.